This 460-nucleotide ribosomal RNA is filed under the name uncultured bacterium. RNAcentral's name for it is "partial 16S ribosomal RNA". It matches the Rfam family "Bacterial small subunit ribosomal RNA", at positions 338 to 795 of the family's 1533-position model. The record is from RNAcentral.
CCUACGGGAGGCAGCAGUGAGGAAUAUUGGUCAAUGGACGAGAGUCUGAACCAGCCAAGUAGCGUGAAGGAUGACUGCCCUAUGGGUUGUAAACUUCUUUUAUAUGGGAAUAAAAUGUUCCACGUGUGGGAUUUUGUCUGUAACACAUGAAUAAGGAUCGGCUAACUCCGUGCCAGCAGCCGCGGUAAUACGGAGGAUCCGAGCGUUAUCCGGAUUUAUUGGGUUUAAAGGGAGCGUAGGUGGAUUGUUAAGUCAGUUGUGAAAGUUUGCGGCUCAACCGUAAAAUUGCAGUUGAAACUGGCAGUCUUGAGUACAGUAGAGGUGGGCGGAAUGCGUGGUGUAGCGGUGAAAUGCUUAGAUAUCACGAAGAACUCCGAUUGCGAAGGCAGCUCACUGGACUGCAACUGACGCUGAGGCUCGAAAGUGUGGGUAUCGAACAGGAUUAGAUACCCUUGUAGUC